GGGCCGGUGGUCUAGCUUGGAAAAAGACGCGGGCCUCCGGAGCCCGAGAUCACGGGUUCGAAUCCCGUCCGGCCCG
This 76-nucleotide transfer RNA is filed under the name Hadesarchaea archaeon. RNAcentral describes it as "tRNA-Arg". It matches the Rfam family "tRNA". Rfam says of the family: Transfer RNA (tRNA) molecules are approximately 80 nucleotides in length. Lineage: Archaea; Methanobacteriati; Hadarchaeota (SeqCode); Hadarchaeia (SeqCode). The record is from RNAcentral.